This is a long non-coding RNA of Equus caballus (horse), 4017 nucleotides long. NCBI's taxonomy places the organism in Eukaryota, Metazoa, Chordata, Mammalia, Perissodactyla, Equidae. The record is from Ensembl.
CAGAAUCCAGUCCUGUGGGCAAGCAGGAGGCGUAGUCUUUCUUCCCUUCCUUUCCCUAAGCUCACCAAGCUGUUCUUUUGAAACUUAUGACCAUCGCCCCAUCAAACCUUCUUCAACUUAAAGUCCAGGGCUGACCUGGGAGCCCUGCUUUGUUGGUAACGGGGAACACAAAAGCUGAAAAUGCCUGGAAGAGUGUGGCUUCCUGUAGCUGCAGGCCAGAGAUGUAACACCUGGGGCACUGGGUGGACCACAGAAAUAUGUUUGAUGAGAAAACUGCUAUUCUCCAUUUCUCUUCGUUGUUCUGAGCCAGGUCUCUGCCUCUUUCCUAGGGAGGAAAUUUGGUAGCAAGUGUCAGAAAAGUUAACGUCUAAGAUUGGAAUAGGUUCCUAGGGGAUGAAGGUGGGGAUGGUCAUCUCCCUUUCUACCAAACUUAGAGACAUAACGUGAUGACUCUCUUACCAUCCUUCACCCUCGCAUCUCUAGAAAGGACGAUUUUGGGGUAGCCCAGCAGCUGUAGCCUUAAGUGAAAUCGGGAGGAAAUUAUAGUUUAUCUUGGGUGUCCUCCUUUCUUUUCUGUGCCUCUCCCCUGUCCCUUUGCAUUGUUCUCUUCUCCUUCCAAGUUAUUUCUGUCCAGGAGAUUAUGUCCUCCAUCUGCUCUACCCAGAAGUGCCCAGACAGACCUCCUGGGGCAGGAGCACAUACUAGAAAAGGACUACACCUUUCUGCUUCUUCCACACUUCAUCACUACUCUGGUUCCUUUGGGGGGUUUAUCCUAGCUGGUAGUUAGGAGAAAAGCAUCUAAUUAAGAUAAUUCAAAUUAAAGUCAUGAAAAUGCUCUUCUUAAAGAGCUUGGCUAUUUCCCCAUACUCCUAAAAAUAGCCAACAUAGGCUACCCAAUUGGGCUGACAUGGGGGAAUCUUCUUUAAACCGUGACUCUCUCCUCUUUCUCCCUUUUAUAGUCUACAGUCUCUGUAGGCAACUUUAGAGAAGGCCAGACUCUCUUCCCUCCUCUCAUGCCUCACUGAGAAAUUUCCCAGAAAUUUAAGCUGGAAGCUAGGAAAUAACCCCAGUAAUGGUUUCCUGAAAUGCACUGGGCAUUUUCAACUUGACAGGUCCUUGAGUGAGUGUCUACAUCUCUGUAGCAGGAAGUUGCCAUGAUCCUUAUCACUCUUCCCUGGUCCCCUCAUAUCCCCAGAAAUCCAGAGCUUCCAGAAACAGAGUAGAUUGUUGACCUCAGGAGAAAGUAGAUGCAAUGGACUGUUUGUGAUGAGGGGGGAUUCGAUAAUCUCCUGGAACAGAAAUAAUGAAGAUGCAGGCCAGCCUUUACCAUUUAUGACCUGUUUUCUUGGUCUGAUUUGCCCCUUUGGGAGAAACUUAGGGGGCAGGAGCACAAGAAUGGGGGCCCAUAAACACGCCUCAUGUUCUCUGAAGUAAGGUUAAGAGGCAGCCUAGAUAAAAGCUCUCUUUCUGCUUGUCAGAGGCUACAGAGAUGGUGUGGUUCAGGUGUCUGUCACGGUUAAUUUCAUGGGUCAACUUGACUGGGUUAAGGGAUGCCCAGAUAGCUGGUAAAACAUUAGUUCUGAGGGUGCUUCUAGAAAAUAUUAACAUUUGAAUUGGAAGAUUGAUUUGAAGAAGUCAUGGUAAAGAAUCCUCACCAAUGUGGUUGGGCAUCAUCUAAUCCACUCAGGGCUCAAAUAGGGCAAAAAGGAAGAGGAAGAGUGAAUUUGCCCUCUGCUUGAGCUGGGAUAUCCUCUUCUCCUGCACUUGGACAUAGGCGCUCCUGGUUCUCAGGCCUUUAGACUUAGACCAGGACUUACACCAUCGGCCCCCUGAGUUUCAGGCCUUUGGACUCAGACUUACACCACUGGCUCCUCUGGUCCUCAGACUUUCGAAUGGGGACCAAAUUACACCAUUGGUUUUCUUGGUUCUCCAGCUGGCAGACUGUGGGACUUCUCGGCCAAUUCCUGUCAUCAAUCUUUCCAUAUAUCUGUAUCUCUAUCUAUGCAUCUAUAUCUAUAUUUUUAUUUAUCCUAUUGGUUCUGUUUCUCUGGAGAACUCUGACUAAAACAGCAUCUCUACAUAAUUUCCCCCAAAUCAAUAAGGGACUAAAUGGAGCUGAAGUUCUUAUUCUCCAUUUCAGUUUACUUCCUUAAGCAAAUGUGGAAUGUUGCGGAAGACAGAUCUUGUAUAUUCAUUAGGAUUUUGUCAGCUUAAAAGGCAAGAAGGGAGGGAUUUGUUGACUUGUGUACCAGGAAAUCUAAAACAUGACUCUUCAGAGGUGACUGGGUUUAGGGGUUUAAAUAAUGUCGUUAGCUCUGUCUCCCCAUCGUUGGCUUGUUUGCCCCUGUGUUGGCUUCAUUCCCAGGUAGGCUUUCCCCACCUUCUGGACAAGAUGGCCUCCAGCGGCAGUGGCUAUUACUUUGUUUAUGUCUUUCCCACUAUUCAAAAGUAUUCCUGUCCCUUCAAAAGGCCGAUAGGCCUGGCUUGGUCCAAGGGUCCUUACCUGAAGCGACCAUUACAGCUGGGAGGAUGAAGUCCCUGAUGGCUAGCUCACAUCUUGAGCCUGCCAUGUUCGGGAAGACCAGGCAGGGGAUUGGCCAUCCGGUUAGGUAGAGGAGGAACAAUUCUCAAAAGGAAAAUAUACUGGCAGAUAAAAAGUAACAUAUCCAUACAGUUUUAUACUAGCUCAAAAGCUAAUUCAAAUGAACAAGCAAUAGGGCGAGAGAUGUGAGCAAUACAGAGAUUUAUAAGACAGGCUUUUUGUCCUUAAAGAGCAUAUAAUCUAGUUGUUCUGGAAGUUGGCCACAUUCUUUAUUUAAUAAUUUGAGGAAACAUGAAUGACUUCAUUGGAAAAUAUUUUCUGAGUUCUUACUUAAUGCCGGGCAUCAUGCUAGAUUCCUGUCAUACAAGGAAGAAAGACAAACCUCUUCCCACGAGGAGCUUACAGUCAGGUGGGAGAGACAAGUAAACCAGCAAACGUUUUCAAUGCGGGGCCCCAAGAGCAAUGAUAGACGUGUGCACAGCUGUUAUGAGAGCCCCAAAGGCGCCUAUUCGACAUUAGGCUCAGAGGAGCUGACAUGUGAGCCAAAGCUGGAAAAGCAAGUGGGCGUCAGGUGAGGGUCGGGGAGGGUUUUGCAGGCAAAGGGACCAGCAUCUGCAAAGGUCCAGGGGUGUGCAGUAGGGUGCUGUGUUUAGAGAAUUGUAGAUAGUUUGAAUGAAGUUUAUGAGGGGAUACGAGACAGAUGAACCCAAAGAGGUAGGCAGGAGCCAGAUCACGGAGAGCCCUGUGCCAGACACACAGAUGUGAGCUUGUCCCUGAGGGAUUUUAAACAGGGCAUGGACGUGUCCAGAUCCGCAACUGAGCAUGCAGCUUCUGGCAACAGAUGGAGUAGAGUGAGCCAGACCGGAGGCACGAGGAGUAGUGAGAAGGCUGCUGUGGGAGAGGGCGGAAGAUAUGAAGAGGACUUCCUCACAGAGAAUGCCAGCUCGUAAAGUGAUGCUGGAGAAUUGGGGAAUGAAGUGUCUUGAUAUCGUCAACCUACUUUCAAAUGGCUCCAGAAAAUGUUUAAGCACAACCAGAGGCAACAAUCAUACUAACAACGGGCCGUAACUUAUGGUGCUGGGAAGCAGAGAGCUGCGAGUCAAGAGCACUGGCCGGGAAUCAGGAUGCUGGAGUUCUGAUCUUGGCUCUUCCAGGAAGCAGCUAUGUUAAGGAGAGACUGUAACAGGAGUAACUCGCGGACUCUUCCGAUGAUUUCUACUGCCCUUGGAAACCUCCGUAUCACUCCUGCAAUUCCUAACACCUGAUUCUUCUCGUCUCAGAGCAAGAGGGGAGAAGAGCCUUGGCUCAAGGUUGAAGCGGGGCUGGGCAUGUCCUAGGAACACGGCUCCUCCGCGGGGAAUGCGCCUGAGAGCUGGGCUGUCAGUUGGCAGGGAUGUUGUUAUCAGCACUCUGCUGUUCAACUUCACUAUUUGUUCCAAAAAUGGUCAUUGUGAUAACUCAGAAUUAAAUCUCUG